This 449-nucleotide ribosomal RNA is filed under the name uncultured bacterium. Its description in RNAcentral is "partial 16S ribosomal RNA". It matches the Rfam family "Bacterial small subunit ribosomal RNA", at positions 29 to 523 of the family's 1533-position model. The record is from RNAcentral.
AACGAACGCUGGCGGCAGGCUUAACACAUGCAAGUCGAACGAGAUCUUCGGAUCUAGUGGCAGACGGGUGAGGAACACGUGGGAACAUCCCUUUCAGUUCGGAAUAACGUUGGGAAACUAACGCUAAUACCGGAUACGUCCUUCGGGAGAAAGAUUUAUCGCUGAAAGAUUGGCCCGCGUCUGAUUAGCUAGUUGGUCAGGUAAUGGCUCACCAAGGCUACGAUCAGUAGCUGAGCUGAGAGGAUGAUCAGCAACAUUGGGACUGAGACACGGCCCAAACUCCUACGGGAGGCAGCAGUGGGGAAUAUUGGACAAUGGGCGCAAGCCUGAUCCAGCCAUGCCGCGUGAGUGAUGACGGCCUUCGGGUUGUAAAGCUCUUUUGUCCGGGAAGAUAAUGACUGUGCCGGAAGAAUAAGCCCCGGCAAACUUCGUGCCAGCAGCCGCCGCUG